This 261-nucleotide long non-coding RNA is filed under the name Homalodisca vitripennis (glassy-winged sharpshooter). RNAcentral's name for it is "uncharacterized LOC124372137". Lineage: Eukaryota; Metazoa; Arthropoda; Insecta; Hemiptera; Cicadellidae. The record is from RNAcentral.
CGACUUCGGCAUCGCUGUGAAACAGACGUAACUACGGCACUGUUGUUUAAGUGGUUGUCCGCAAGUAGAUUCCUGUGUGUUCUGUGUUGUAAUCCUAUAUCAUCCAACCUUGGAGAUUGGAUUACCAAACCGAAGACUGAUGUAAAAUUUUAUAAAGUUCUUGUAAGAACUACCUACAAACGACGGACAACCACAAAAGUGAACAUCGGGGCCUCAUGGAUUUUUAAUCCAGGCCGCCACAAAAAGGUGGCAAAAGAAAAA